Molecule: long non-coding RNA, 275 nt
Organism: Cyclopterus lumpus (lumpfish)
Lineage: Eukaryota; Metazoa; Chordata; Actinopteri; Perciformes; Cyclopteridae
Exons: 3
Source: RefSeq, a predicted model, not a curated record
CUCCCACAGCUGUGACCAAAAUCAGCUCCGAGACUUCCGUUGCGUCCAAACCUGACCAGAGUCCAGAAUCCCCCACGAUAAAGCGAGGCGAACAUCUACUGAGACGUGACGUCACUGAACCCAAGCUGUACUUGCCUCUUUCGAUGAUGAGCAAACCCAACAUAGAGUCUUCAUCGUCUGCUACGACAGGACCGUCCCCAAUCAAACCUGGGGAGUAUCCCUUUAAGCGAGUACCAGUUGUCAAGACACCCAGUCCCAGUCUGAAGAGAAGUGUG